RNAcentral lists this long non-coding RNA (399 nucleotides) under Macaca nemestrina (pig-tailed macaque). RNAcentral's name for it is "lncRNA (ENSMNEG00000045930.1)". Lineage: Eukaryota; Metazoa; Chordata; Mammalia; Primates; Cercopithecidae. The record is from RNAcentral.
AGGGAAGGGAGCAAGACUGUUGGUGGGACAUGGUUGUCCCACAGCAAGACUGUUGGUGAGACAGGGCUCCAACUGCCCUGGCCCUCUGCAGAGCCUCCUGAGAAGGAUGUCAUCUUCCUGGUACAGAUGGGAAGAAGGCCAGAUCUGGCUCCUCAUUCCUGAAAACAAACAGCCUUGACCCCAAUGUUGAUAGCAGUUCCUUGCCUCCAACUCCCAGCCUGUCCCUUCGAUGGGCCAGGUAGUUUUCCAUGGCGAUGCAGACCAGCUGACACUCUCUCACCUCUCCUCAGCCAGAAGUGGGCUCCCUGAUCACCACUGGCAAGUUCCUGGAAAAGAGCUUCAAGAUUGGCUUAGACCAUGCUGAAGGUGAGAAACUUGAAUGGAAUUGACAUUCUAUAU